This 64-nucleotide transfer RNA is filed under the name Acrossus rufipes. RNAcentral's name for it is "Aphodius rufipes tRNA-Val". Lineage: Eukaryota; Metazoa; Arthropoda; Insecta; Coleoptera; Scarabaeidae. The record is from RNAcentral.
CAAAUUAGAGCUUGAUAUAAGCAUUUUAUUUACAUUAAAAAGAUAACUAUUAAUUUAGUUUAAU